UGGGGAAUAUUGCACAAUGGGGGAAACCCUGAUGCAGCGACGCCGCGUGGAGGAAGAAGGUCUUCGGAUUGUAAACUCCUGUUGUUGGGGAAAAUAAGGAUGGUACCCAACAAGGAAGUGACGGCUAACUACGUGCCAGCAGCCGCGGUAAAACGUAGGUCACAAGCGUUGUCCGGAAUUACUGGGUGUAAAGGGAGCGCAGGCGGGUAUGCAAGUUGGAAGUGAAAUACAUGGGCUCAACCCAUGAACUGCUUUCAAAACUGUGUAUCUUGAGUAGUGCAGAGGUAGGCGGAAUUCCCGGUGUAGCGGUGGAAUGCGUAGAUAUCGGGAGGAACACCAGUGGCGAAGGCGGCCUACUGGGCACCAACUGACGCUGAGGCUCGAAAGUGUGGGUAGCAAACAGGAUUAGAUACCC
Molecule: ribosomal RNA, 415 nt
Filed under: uncultured bacterium
Lineage: Bacteria
Description: bacterial SSU rRNA
Rfam family: Bacterial small subunit ribosomal RNA
Source: RNAcentral